This 484-nucleotide ribosomal RNA is filed under the name uncultured bacterium. Its description in RNAcentral is "partial 16S ribosomal RNA". It matches the Rfam family "Bacterial small subunit ribosomal RNA", at positions 29 to 507 of the family's 1533-position model. The record is from RNAcentral.
AUUGAACGCUGGCGGCAUGCUUUACACAUGCAAGUCGAGCGGCAGCGCGGGCUUCGGCCUGGCGGCGAGUGGCGAACGGGUGAGUAAUACAUCGGAACGUGCCCAGUAGUGGGGGAUAGCUCGGCGAAAGCCGGAUUAAUACCGCAUACGACUUGAGGGUGAAAGCGGGGGAUCUUCGGACCUCGCGCUAUUGGAGCGGCCGAUGGCAGAUUAGCUAGUUGGUGGGGUAAAGGCCUACCAAGGCGACGAUCUGUAGCUGGUCUGAGAGGACGACCAGCCACACUGGGACUGAGACACGGCCCAGACUCCUACGGGAGGCAGCAGUGGGGAAUUUUGGACAAUGGGCGAAAGCCUGAUCCAGCAAUGCCGCGUGUGUGAUGAGGGCCUUCGGGUUGUAAAGCACUUUUGGCGGGAACGAAAAGGACUGUGCCAAUACCACGGUUCGAUGACGGUACCCGCAGAAUAAGCACCGGCUAACUACGUG